RNAcentral lists this ribosomal RNA (486 nucleotides) under uncultured bacterium. RNAcentral describes it as "partial 16S ribosomal RNA". It matches the Rfam family "Bacterial small subunit ribosomal RNA", at positions 30 to 507 of the family's 1533-position model. The record is from RNAcentral.
AUUGAACGCUGGCGGCAUGCCUUACACAUGCAAGUCGAACGGCAGCACGGGUGCUUGCCCCUGGUGGCGAGUGGCGAACGGGUGAGUAAUACAUCGGAACAUGUCCUGUAGUGGGGGAUAGCCCGGCGAAAGCCGGAUUAAUACCGCAUACGAUCUACGGAUGAAAGCGGGGGACCUUCGGGCCUCGCGCUAUAGGGUUGGCCGAUGGCUGAUUAGCUAGUUGGUGGGGUAAAGGCCUACCAAGGCGACGAUCAGUAGCUGGUCUGAGAGGACGACCAGCCACACUGGGACUGAGACACGGCCCAGACUCCUACGGGAGGCAGCAGUGGGGAAUUUUGGACAAUGGGCGAAAGCCUGAUCCAGCAAUGCCGCGUGUGUGAAGAAGGCCUUCGGGUUGUAAAGCACUUAUGUCCGGAAAGAAAUCCUUGGCCCUAAUACGGUCGGGGGAUGACGGUACCGGAAGAAUAAGCACCGGCUAACUACGUG